This 75-nucleotide transfer RNA is filed under the name Candidatus Portnoybacteria bacterium CG10_big_fil_rev_8_21_14_0_10_44_7. RNAcentral describes it as "tRNA-Met". It matches the Rfam family "tRNA". Rfam says of the family: Transfer RNA (tRNA) molecules are approximately 80 nucleotides in length. Their secondary structure includes four short double-helical elements and three loops (D, anti-codon, and T loops). Further hydrogen bonds mediate the characteristic L-shaped molecular structure. tRNAs have two regions of fundamental functional importance: the anti-codon, which is responsible for specific mRNA codon recognition, and the 3' end, to which the tRNAs corresponding amino acid is attached (by aminoacyl-tRNA synthetases). tRNAs cope with the degeneracy of the genetic code in two manners: having more than one tRNA (with a specific anti-codon) for a particular amino acid; and 'wobble' base-pairing, i.e. permitting non-standard base-pairing at the 3rd anti-codon position. Lineage: Bacteria; Candidatus Portnoyibacteriota. The record is from RNAcentral.
UGCGGGAUAGAGCAGCAGUUAGCUCGGGGGUCUCAUAAGCCCCAGGCCCGGGUGCAAAUCCCGGUCCCGCAACAA